This 603-nucleotide long non-coding RNA is filed under the name Vulpes vulpes (red fox). Its description in RNAcentral is "lncRNA (ENSVVUG00000022612.1)". Lineage: Eukaryota; Metazoa; Chordata; Mammalia; Carnivora; Canidae. The record is from RNAcentral.
CUGCUGUCCUAUUGGAUGACUGAACUAAAUCCAAAUUCAACCCUCUGGGGGUACAAUCCCAGAAGGAAAGACAAUUUCAUCCUCAGCACCUUAAAGAGAAGUCUCACAUAGUCCCCCAGGCCAGCUGGGCAGCUGCAUUCCAAGGACGAAGUGCCUCUUUGAAGUUGGAAGCUCUAGAUGUCUUGCCCUACGUCUUGCUAAAGCUCUGCAGAAUGAUCAAAAUAACUGAGACUUGAGCUGCCUUCCUUCCAGAAGAGGUUUCCUAGGGCAAGAUGACACACAGCCACAUUUUAUGAGUCCUCCAGACGAGCCAGUUGCAAGGCGGUUGCCAGGCCAAGUAAAAUCCAGAUGGUGUCCUCUGUAUUCCCAAGAGUUUGGGAUUUUGGAGGUGUGACAUGGGGAGCAAAGGAUUUUGGCCAUGGUCUAGCUACAUACCAAAGACUGGACUUCAGUCACAGAAUAAGGUCACACAUUGAACAUUUAGACAAUCAUCAGUUCUUGCCAAGAAAUAACUCAAGAGUUAAGCCGUUACUGAAUCUGCAUUCAACAUUUGUGUCGGAGAUUGAAAUCCAAAAGGUAAUCUUUUUCUCUCAUCCCUCAUAA